UUGUAACGGCUGGCGGCGACUGCCUUACACGAUGGCAAGUCGAACGGUAACAGGGAGCUUGCUCCGCUGACGAGUGGCGAACGGGUGAGUAAUGUAUCGGAACGUACCAUUCAGUGGGGGAUAACGUAGCGAAAGUUACGCUAAUACCGCAUAUUCUGUGAGCCAGGAAAGCAGGGGAUACGCAAGACCUUGCGCUGAUUGAGCGGCCGAUAUCAGAUUAGCUAGUUGGUGAGGUAAAGGCUCACCAAGGCGACGAUCUGUAGCGGGUCUGAGAGGAUGAUCCGCCACACUGGAACUGAGACACGGUCCAGACUCCUACGGGAGGCAGCAGUGGGGAAUUUUGGACAAUGGGGGCAACCCUGAUCCAGCCAUGCCGCGUGAGUGAAGAAGGCCUUCGGGUUGUAAAGCUCUUUCGGCCGGGAAAAAGUCGCAUCAGUUAAUACCUGGUGUGGAUGAUGGUACCGGAAUAAGAAGCACCGGCUAACUACGUG
This 491-nucleotide ribosomal RNA is filed under the name uncultured bacterium. RNAcentral describes it as "bacterial SSU rRNA". It matches the Rfam family "Bacterial small subunit ribosomal RNA", at positions 35 to 507 of the family's 1533-position model. The record is from RNAcentral.